Molecule: transfer RNA, 87 nt
Organism: Fistulina hepatica ATCC 64428
Lineage: Eukaryota; Fungi; Basidiomycota; Agaricomycetes; Agaricales; Fistulinaceae
Rfam family: tRNA
About the family: Transfer RNA (tRNA) molecules are approximately 80 nucleotides in length. Their secondary structure includes four short double-helical elements and three loops (D, anti-codon, and T loops).
Source: Rfam
GACUCAAUAGCUCAGUGGUAGAGCAUGAGAUUGCAGUUCUGAGUAAUAACAAUCUUAGGGUCCCGUGUUCGAACCACGGUUGGGUCU